GGCUAGUCCGAAGAUAGAGAGUUAGCUCGAUUGUUCACAGAUUGAACUCUUUGUUCUAUUCGUUCCCCCCUCACUACUGCCCUUGACUAAUCAUAG
Y RNA from Callithrix jacchus (white-tufted-ear marmoset), 96 nucleotides. It matches the Rfam family "Y RNA". From Rfam's summary of the family: Y RNAs are components of the Ro ribonucleoprotein particle (Ro RNP), in association with Ro60 and La proteins. The Y RNAs and Ro60 and La proteins are well conserved, but the function of the Ro RNP is not known. NCBI's taxonomy places the organism in Eukaryota, Metazoa, Chordata, Mammalia, Primates, Cebidae. The record is from Ensembl.